Molecule: long non-coding RNA, 2045 nt
Organism: Bombus impatiens (common eastern bumble bee)
Lineage: Eukaryota; Metazoa; Arthropoda; Insecta; Hymenoptera; Apidae
Exons: 2
Source: RefSeq, a predicted model, not a curated record
GGGAGAGAGAGAGAGAGAGAGAGAUAAUAUAAAAGGCAUCAUAAUAUAAAAGUUCUAAAGCAUUUUCUUUGCGUUAUAAGUUACAAGUGCAAAUUUGAAGAAAGAAGAAAUAAAUCCGCAAUAUUUUGAUGUAAAUUUUCUAUUUCAUAUUUAAUGAAUUAUUCUGCGGCGAAUAUUUAUCCUAAAAGUGUCCACGCAUUGAAAAACUAUUAUAUGAAGUUAUCAGAAAAAGGUAGAUAACAUGGACGAGAAGUAUUUGGAUAUUGAUGAACAGAAUCUUUCUGAAAUUGAAAAUAAAAUGGAAAAAGAUGAUGACCUAUUUGGCAUAUCCAACGAAUUAGUCUCCAGACACGGAUAAUGAAGAGAAGAAUAUCUUGAAUAAAUGUAAAAGACAAAAGGGAAGGGGAUUAACACUGAGAUAAGAAAGUGAGCGUGAUGUAGAGGACCAACGCAUCGAAACUGCUGCUGAUGGGACAGUUUCAUAAGAGAUAGCAGGUGGUUCCAAACCCGGAAGAGCACCAAUUCACAUAAUAUCUGUAGGGAAUUAUCAGGUCCGACAGGAUAUGCUAAACGAAAUGUUAAGAAAGGAAAAGUAAAGAUUGCAUUUUCUCUGGUCAUAGACUACCAUAUAAUGAAAAAUAUACGUGCACAGAACGUGCACAGAAGCAGAAGCAUUUAGUUGGGGCCUAAUUUUUUUUUUUUUUUUUUUAUUUAACUAUAAUUAAAUGCAUUUGUUGCUCUGCUGUAUAUUCACGGAGCAUAUAAGGCAAAAGAUUUAGGCAUCUCAUAUUUGUGAGAUGGCCGUGACCAGAAAGUGAAGUUUACACAGUAGCGUAACGAAUAUAAAUGCAAAUAACUGGCCACAAUUGACUCGAGUCGUGGUGAACAACGCAAUAAUCAUUGCUUUUUCAACAAUCGCCAACGCUGCUACGAAUGCAUAAUUAUUGGUAGAAUUCACUGUAGUGGUACCGACAGCUUCUUUCGAAUACCUUGGAAACCAAGAUCGACCGUCGAUUAUACAUAUAGAAAAAAAUCAUCGAAAUCGGAGAGAAGAAUUAUCGCCACAAAUAUUCAUAUCGCCAAAUUCUUCAUCAUGGUAGCAUGACUUUCCUCCAAUAAACCAAUGCUUUACUAGAUGCCAAGCCGCCUCCACGUAGUAUGAAUACUACCUAUAAUUGUGCGUCCGUAAUGACGUAUGCAUUCGUAUUGUUUGACGGCGGCCCUGCAGCGCUUGGAUACAGUAAUAACCUAGCACCAAAGUCCAAAAUUAUUGCGUUUUUUAUUUGUUAGACUGCGAGACUUUUCUGAUUACGAAAAUAUAAGCUUGUAUGGUAGAGUUCUUAGCGUUGCGUCGUGCGGUUUCUUUGAUAACGAACGAAUUGCGAUAAACAAUGAGUGAAAGGGCAAGCAGAGAAACGUGAAGAGGGAUCCCUAUAGUAGACAUCACUGACCUAACAUAUAUCUUAUGGAAUUCCGAAAUAACCGAAAUAUUACAAAUAAAAGAUGAGAAUUAGAUUUGAGUUAGAUCAUGACAUGUAUAGCCAUUGAAUAUAUUAGACAUAUCAUAUUGGAAAAUCUAACAUUUAUAGCCUUCCCGGAUCAUAAAUUUAUUAUAUUUGUUAUUUAUUUCUAAUAAAAACUGGGAAAAUGUUCGAAAGAUAGUUCCGUUUUCUAGAUUUUAUUCCAAAAUUGUCUAUUAAUAUAAUUAAUAUAAAGCACAUAAGAAAUACUCAAAGUAUUGCUUCUGAUGUAAUAUGUAGUAAAUACAAUCCAUGGAACCGAUUGUGACCUAACGUUAAUAACAUAGGCGUACAUUUAUAACCUAGAAUUGUCGAUAUUUCCGGUCAAUGUUCUGUGAAAGUAAGACAUGCGAACGAUGGAUGAUCACGUAUCUUGGAAGAUUAUUUUCCAGGUUAUUUUCUAGGUUUCUAUGCCACUGCACAGUUAUGUUAAACGUAAAUUUGAUGAAUGUCGCCAAUUAUGAACGGAAAGUCAAUAGAGAGCUAAAAUAUUUGCCUGUUGCCGGCUACCUCGCUGCGGCUGGA